Molecule: long non-coding RNA, 814 nt
Filed under: Oryzias sinensis (Chinese medaka)
Lineage: Eukaryota; Metazoa; Chordata; Actinopteri; Beloniformes; Adrianichthyidae
Description: lncRNA (ENSOSIG00000023602.1)
Source: RNAcentral
CUCUAAUGUUAAUGUCAAGCUAUUUUAAAAAUGUUAACAUUUUUUUUCCCGUUUUCACUUCAGCCGGUCGUUUCAGCCUGAGAGCAAGAAAAGCAAAAGGUCCGGUUGAACUCACCCAGCAGCAUGGUUUAAGACUGGAUUGGCUGACCCCCUUUGACCAGCUGGCUUGGCCACAGUAAAUCCUAGAGACUGCUCAUGCUACAGGCCUUGGGUAAUUAAUAAAACCCCCAUUACAUGCCUUGUGCCCGUUGUUUGCUAUUUCAACACCCCAUUUGUGCCACGAUUACAGUCAUUAUCAGUCACCGCCAUUAAUUCUCCACCCGAAGCCAGAACUGCAUACUAAUAAAUUGGGCUCUAAAAUUUUUUUUACCUUUCAAGGAGUUGGUGUUGGAACCAGGCCAGGAAGUGCCACUCCAGAUUAGAAGUCAUCUGGUGCCUCGAACGGAGCUCUUUGAAAAGGAGGCUGCUGCAUCUUUGGAGAUAGUUCAAAUUUCCUCUUUGAUUAUUUUCCUUUCCCCUCCAAAAUGAAUCUUUAUUAAGCUUAAAUCCUGAAUAAAAUGAAAUUAGCAGACUGCAAAAUAUUGCUUUCUUUUCUGCCUCUAUUCCCCUGUGCACACAUGCAAAUUAUAAUGCUUAUUUAUGUAAAUGAGGUGUCGUCUUUAAUUAGUUUUGCUUGAGGGCAUUAAAAUACAUGUAUUCUUCCCCAAAAAAUGAUUUGUUUUGUUGCUCUGUUCAGUUUAAGUUCAAAAUGAAUGAUUAUGCCGACUAAAAAGGUUUAUUAAUUCUCUUUUUUUUUCCACCCUCUUUUGGAGAA